UGGGGAAUAUUGCGCAAUGGGGGGAACCCUGACGCAGCCAUGCCGCGUGAAUGAAGAAGGCCUUAGGGUUGUAAAGUUCUUUCGGUAUUGAGGAAGGUUGAUGUGUUAAUAGCACAUCAAAUUGACGUUAAAUACAGAAGAAGCACCGGCUAACUCCGUGCCAGCAGCCGCGGUAAUACGGAGGGUGCGAGCGUUAAUCGGAAUAACUGGGCGUAAAGGGCACGCAGGCGGUUAUUUAAGUGAGGUGUGAAAGCCCCGGGCUUAACCUGGGAAUUGCAUUUCAGACUGGGUAACUAGAGUACUUUAGGGAGGGGUAGAAUUCCACGUGUAGCGGUGAAAUGCGUAGAGAUGUGGAGGAAUACCGAAGGCGAAGGCAGCCCCUUGGGAAUGUACUGAUGCUCAUGUGCGAAAGCGUGGGGAGCAAACAGGAUUAGAUACCCUGGUAGUCCACGCUGUAAACGCUGUCGAUUUGGGGGUUGGGGUUUAACUCUGGCGCCCGUAGCUAACGUGAUAAAUCGACCGCCUGGGGAGUACGGCCGCAAGGUU
RNAcentral lists this ribosomal RNA (546 nucleotides) under uncultured bacterium. RNAcentral's name for it is "bacterial SSU rRNA". It matches the Rfam family "Bacterial small subunit ribosomal RNA", at positions 355 to 895 of the family's 1533-position model. The record is from RNAcentral.